GACGAACGCUGGCGGCGUGCUUAACACCUGCAAGUCGAACGGAAAGGCCCUGCUUUUGUGGGGUGCUCGAGUGGCGAACGGGUGAGUAACACGUGAGUAACCUGCCCUUGACUUUGGGAUAACUUCAGGAAACUGGGGCUAAUACCGGAUAGGAGCUCCUGCUGCAUGGUGGGGGUUGGAAAGUUUCGGCGGUUGGGGAUGGACUCGCGGCUUAUCAGCUUGUUGGUGGGGUAGUGGCUUACCAAGGCUUUGACGGGUAGCCGGCCUGAGAGGGUGACCGGCCACAUUGGGACUGAGAUACGGCCCAGACUCCUACGGGAGGCAGCAGUGCGGAAUAUUGCACAAUGGGCGGAAGCCUGAUGCAGCAACGCCGCGUGCGGGAUGACGGCCUUCGGGUUGUAAACCGCUUUCGCCUGUGACGAAGCGUGAGUGACGGUAAUGGGUAAAGAAGCACCGGCUAACUACGUG
Molecule: ribosomal RNA, 468 nt
Filed under: uncultured bacterium
Lineage: Bacteria
Description: partial 16S ribosomal RNA
Rfam family: Bacterial small subunit ribosomal RNA
Source: RNAcentral